This 329-nucleotide unclassified non-coding RNA is filed under the name soil metagenome. Its description in RNAcentral is "partial contains 5.8S ribosomal RNA, internal transcribed spacer 2, and large subunit ribosomal RNA". The stretch from base 1 to 120 matches the Rfam family "5.8S ribosomal RNA", at positions 35 to 154 of the family's 154-position model. The record is from RNAcentral.
GAUGAAGAACGUAGCGAAAUGCGAUAAGUAAUGUGAAUUGCAGAAUUCAGUGAAUCAUCGAAUCUUUGAACGCACAUUGCGCCCCUUGGUAUUCCGAGGGGCAUGCCUGUUCGAGCGUUAUUAUAACCCCUCAAGCUCAGCUUGGUGUUGGGGCCUGCUGCACUGGCAGCCCUUAAAAUCAGUGGCGGCGCCAUCUGGCUCUAAGCGUAGUAAUUCUUCUCGCUAUGGAGUCCUGGUGGAUGCUUGCCAUCAACCCCCAAUUUUUCUAUGGUUGACCUCGGAUCAGGUAGGGAUACCCGCUGAACUUAAGCAUAUCAAUAAGCGGAGGA